This 440-nucleotide ribosomal RNA is filed under the name uncultured bacterium. RNAcentral describes it as "partial 16S ribosomal RNA". It matches the Rfam family "Bacterial small subunit ribosomal RNA", at positions 338 to 795 of the family's 1533-position model. The record is from RNAcentral.
CCUACGGGAGGCAGCAGUGGGGAAUAUUGCACAAUGGGGGAAACCCUGAUGCAGCGACGCCGCGUGAGCGAUGAAGUAUCUCGGUAUUUUAAGCUCUAUUUGUAGGGAAGAAAAUGACGGUACCUGAGUAAGAAGCUCCGGCUAAAUACGUUCAAGCAGCCGCGGUAAUACGUAUGGAGCAAGCGUUAUCCGGAUUUACUGGGCGUAAAGGGAGCGUAGGCGGCUUGCCAAGUCUGAUGUGAAAUACCGGGGCUCAACCCCGGGGCUGCAUUGGAAACUGGCAGGCUGGAGUGCCGGAGAGGCAGGCGGAAUUCGUGGUGUAGCGGUGAAAUGCGUAGAUAUUAGGAAGAACUCCAGUGGCGAAGGCGGCCUGCUGGACGGUGACUGACGCUGAGGCUCGAAAGCGUGGGGAGCAAACAGGAUUAGAUACCCCAGUAGUC